CAGCAGCCACGGUAAUACGGAGGGUGCAAGCGUUAAUCGGAAUUACUGGGCGUAAAGCGCACGCAGGCGGUCUGUCAAGUCAGAUGUGAAAUCCCCGGGCUUAACCUGGGAACUGCAUUUGAAACUGGCAGGCUAGAGUCUUGUAGAGGGGGGUAGAAUUCCAGGUGUAGCGGUGAAAUGCGUAGAGAUCUGGAGGAAUGCCGGUGGCGAAGGCGGCCCCCUGGACAAAGACUGACGCUCAGGUGCGAAAGCGUGGGGAGCAAACAGGAUUAGAUACCCGCGUAGUCCCUGUCUCUUAUAC
RNAcentral lists this ribosomal RNA (301 nucleotides) under uncultured bacterium. RNAcentral's name for it is "partial 16S ribosomal RNA". It matches the Rfam family "Bacterial small subunit ribosomal RNA", at positions 509 to 807 of the family's 1533-position model. The record is from RNAcentral.